GAUGAACGCUGGCGGCGUGCUUAACACAUGCAAGUCGAACGAUGAAGCCCAGCUUGCUGGGUGGAUUAGUGGCGAACGGGUGAGUAACACGUGAGUAACCUGCCCUUAACUCUGGGAUAAGCCUGGGAAACUGGGUCUAAUACCGGAUAGGAGCGUCCACCGCAUGGUGGGUGUUGGAAAGAUUUAUCGGUUUUGGAUGGACUCGCGGCCUAUCAGCUUGUUGGUGAGGUAAUGGCUCACCAAGGCGACGACGGGUAGCCGGCCUGAGAGGGUGACCGGCCACACUGGGACUGAGACACGGCCCAGACUCCUACGGGAGGCAGCAGUGGGGAAUAUUCCACAAUGGGCGAAAGCCUGAUGCAGCGACGCCGCGUGAGGGAUGACGGCCUUCGGGUUGUAAACCUCUUUCAGUAGGGAAGAAGCGAAAGUGACGGUACCUGCAGAAGAAGCACCGGCUAACUACGUG
Molecule: ribosomal RNA, 466 nt
Filed under: uncultured bacterium
Lineage: Bacteria
Description: partial 16S ribosomal RNA
Rfam family: Bacterial small subunit ribosomal RNA
Source: RNAcentral